GACGAACGCUGGCGGCGUGCCUAAUACAUGCAAGUAGAACGCUGAAGGAGGAGCUUGCUCUUCUGGGUGAGUUGCGAACGGGUGAGUAACGCGUAGGUAACCUGCCUGGUAGCGGGGGAUAACUAUUGGAAACGAUAGCUAAUACCGCAUAACAGUAGAUGUUGCAUGACAUUUACUUAAAAGGUGCAAUUGCAUCACUACCAGAUGGACCUGCGUUGUAUUAGCUAGUUGGUGGGGUAACGGCUCACCAAGGCGACGAUACAUAGCCGACCUGAGAGGGUGAUCGGCCACACUGGGACUGAGACACGGCCCAGACUCCUACGGGAGGCAGCAGUAGGGAAUCUUCGGCAAUGGACGGAAGUCUGACCGAGCAACGCCGCGUGAGUGAAGAAGGUUUUCGGAUCGUAAAGCUCUGUUGUAAGAGAAGAGCGAGUGUGAGAGUGGAAAGUUCACACUGUGACGGUAUCUUAACAGAAAGGGACGGCUAACUACGUG
Molecule: ribosomal RNA, 495 nt
Filed under: uncultured bacterium
Lineage: Bacteria
Description: partial 16S ribosomal RNA
Rfam family: Bacterial small subunit ribosomal RNA
Source: RNAcentral